RNAcentral lists this ribosomal RNA (421 nucleotides) under uncultured bacterium. Its description in RNAcentral is "bacterial SSU rRNA". It matches the Rfam family "Bacterial small subunit ribosomal RNA", at positions 355 to 774 of the family's 1533-position model. The record is from RNAcentral.
UAAGGAAUAUUGGUCAAUGGACGCAAGUCUGAACCAGCCAUGCCGCGUGAAGGAUGAAGGUCCUCUGGAUUGUAAACUUCUUUUAUCUGGGACGAAAACGGGAUUUUUAUCUCCAUUGACGGUACCAGAGGAAUAAGCACCGGCUAACUCCGUGCCAGCAGCCGCGGUAAUACGGAGGGUGCGAGCGUUAUCCGGAUUUACUGGGUUUAAAGGGUGCGUAGGUGGGCUUAUAAGUCAGUGGUGAAAUCUCCGAGCUUAACUUGGAAACUGCCGUUGAUACUAUAGGUCUUGAAUUAUCUGGAGGUAAGCGGAAUAUGUCAUGUAGCGGUGAAAUGCUUAGAUAUGACAUAGAACACCAAUUGCGAAGGCAGCUUACUACAUAUAAAUUGACGCUGAGGCACGAAAGCGUGGGGAUCAAACA